UUCUGGAUGGACUGCGCCAUGCCCACCACCAGGGUAGAGGGUCCUGGCUGGACAGGGCUUUUCUAAUGCCUCUGGGGCUUCAUGGACGGCAGGAGUCUCCCUCCAAGCCCCAAUUCUAGCAGCCCCCAGCCCAGGUCCACCUACAGCCUCCUGCACGGCAACCUCCACCUCCUGGGUUCAAGCAAUUCUCCCUACCUCAGCCUCCUUACAGGCACCUGCCAUCACGUGAGCCUGGCUAAUUUUUGUAUUCUGACACUGGUUAUGUGACGCUCCUGAUCCACCUGCCUUGGCCUCCCAAAGGGUUGGGAUUACAGGCGUGAGCCACCAUGUCCGUCCCCUGCUGGGGUCUUCUAUCUGCAGGCUCAGGACACCCUGAUCAUCUCAAAACCUCGGACAAGCUGGCUUUCAACUCCUCUUGCCAAUUCUCUGUGCAGACCCGUCCAAGGACCUCUCAUUUAGCCAAGUGGGGAAGCUGAGGCCUCACAUGGGCCAGCCCAUCGCCUCCUGUGGACCCCACUCCCCUCCCAUCCUCCAGCACACACUUGGUGGAGACUACCUGGCCCCCCAACUCACCGAUGUGUUUCCCGUACAUGUGGUAGAAGAAGGAGACACAGUAGAACUUGGCGCUGGCA
RNAcentral lists this long non-coding RNA (632 nucleotides) under Homo sapiens (human). Its description in RNAcentral is "HSALNT0105701". The record is from RNAcentral. Lineage: Eukaryota; Metazoa; Chordata; Mammalia; Primates; Hominidae.